UUGACAGGCCUGGAAACUGAAAGCCUCUUUAUAUUCACGAGAUAGGUACAGAAAGAACAGUGACAUGACAAGCUUCCCCACUGUGCCCCAUGCCAUGGCCUCUCAAUAUCGACUUGGAGGGGCCACCUCUAGGUGUUAGAGGAGGGGAAUUCAGACUCUGUGGCCCACGCAAUCUAGACCUCU
This 183-nucleotide small RNA is filed under the name Gopherus agassizii (Agassiz's desert tortoise). RNAcentral describes it as "TUC338 (ENSGAGG00000021357.1)". The record is from RNAcentral. Lineage: Eukaryota; Metazoa; Chordata; Testudines; Testudinidae.